This is a long non-coding RNA of Amphiprion ocellaris (clown anemonefish), 1572 nucleotides long. RefSeq lists it as uncharacterized. Lineage: Eukaryota; Metazoa; Chordata; Actinopteri; Pomacentridae. The transcript is spliced from 2 exons. The record is from RefSeq and is a predicted model, not a curated record.
CAUUGCCUUUUCUGUUUUGCCUUUGCUUUGACUUAAUGGAUUGAGCUGUCAAUCAAAUGGCUCUGGGCGGGGCUUUCUGUCCAGGUGAGUAGUCAACAUCUGAUCACAGGAUUCCUACCUGACCUCAGCUCCUAGCAUGGCUGAAGUCAAGUGAUGUCACCAUGGUUCUUCAGCUGAUUCUACCAGCAGAAACUGAAAGGACUCUGAUAGUUCAGUAAGUUAAUGUUUAUUUUCUUAUAUGUGCCGGUUUUAAUUCACUUUAUAAACAUCUGUAGAGUCAGAUAUAAUCUGUACCGUGCACUCCAGAUGUCGAUGGAAUUUAUUUCUGUGUGUUGACCAGAGAAGAGAGUUAGUGUGACAGGAGGUAGUCUCCCUCCUGGCCGCUGUUGGGCGCCGUGCCAGCGGUGCGAGUACCGUAAUCGCUGGGCGGUACCAUGCGCCCUUUAUAUUCAGGUGUGCAGCGGUGGAGCUUCCUGUCCUCCGCUCCCUGCUUGCUUCCGUGGUGGCUGUGGUUUGGCAUGACGGCGUUGGUGGACGCAGCCGUUCUCUGGUGUAUCCAGCUGUUGUGAUUGCCGUUAAGGCAUGCUGUCUGAAUACCGUGGCUGAGUGCUGGGGUGAAUUCCCCGGGGUGAAGCGGGGAUCUGCUGGAGCCCUGCUGGGCAUAGGAUCACAGGCUCGCUCUGGGUGUGUGUGAGCCGUAUUCUUGUGGCUCACAAACCUCCAGUUGCCAGGUACGUGACGGGUUGGUUUCCCCAGCCGCUAUUCUGAUUUUAUGUAAUGAGUUUUUUAACUCAGUGUUAUUUUUCUUUCCAGUUAACAGCCCGGCAUAAUCGGACUGCCACCAUCACUUCAAGCUGAGCUGCUGUUUUGGUUCUCUUUAAUAUUUGUUUGGUGAACUGUUUAUGUUUGUUUCAUUCAGUUGUUUGCGGCGACUUGGAGCGGACUUCUCAGCCCAGCAGGGCUGAGUGCCGUCUGCGUCCGCUGCCUGCAGAGGCUGGUUGUGUUGCUGCUGUGCCAGAACUUGUACAGCUGCAAGGGCUACUUCAGUUGAUGGUGUUUUGUUUUCUUUGUUAUUUGGAAAUUAAUUCAGGUAUUUCCUUUUGGUGUUUUGGUUUGCUUUGUUGCAUUAGUUUAAUUGUGUUUUUUGUUAUUUUCUUUGUGAGUUUAUUUAGCCUUAUGUAUUGAUUUAAUUCAUCAUUUAUUGUUCUUUGGUUUUGUUUUCUUUUGUCCACACCAGUUAUGGUUAGUUUGGGCACGUUUUAUUAAUCUUUGUCUCUGUCUUCUGUGUACAGGUGCUGUGGCUUACUGCGGCAGUUAUUUCCUGGUGGUGGUGUCUUCUUCACGGUCCCCCCUUUCUUUUGGUUUUGUGUGUGUGUGUAUUAUUUGCAGUGUCACGGGUGAUUCAUUUGAGGAUUCCUCUCCCCUUUUUGGUUGUCCUGCCGCAGGGUAAGCCCCAGCCUGGGUUUAUUUUAUUCCUUGUUGCCCAUUCUUUCUUUUAGUUGGUAUAUGUUAACUGGUGUGUGACAUUAUUUCCUUCCUUACAAAUUGUUAAUAAACAUUGUUAAAUUUGAA